Molecule: long non-coding RNA, 719 nt
Organism: Phasianus colchicus (ring-necked pheasant)
Lineage: Eukaryota; Metazoa; Chordata; Aves; Galliformes; Phasianidae
Source: Ensembl
AAUCCAAUUGGUGAAGUGGAUGCUUUUCAAAUGGCCUCUGAAUGAAAGCAUAAACUCUGCCAGAUUUAUGAAGCUCACCAUGGUAAGAGGUGAUUCCAUCUCACAGUACAAGGUCUGUCACCACAAUUAUGGAUGAGCAGGACCACUAUCCUCUUAUCCCAUCACAAAAGACCACUCUGCAAAGAGCCUUAGUUUUCUUCUCCAAUUUGUUCACUGCAUUUCUGAAUGAAAGGCCCUUUCCCUGGAGGCAGCUAUUUAUUUCACAGAUGAGAUAAUUCCUCGAUCAGAGAAUCUCACAGGACAUAAGUCAGAUACAUAACUUGGUUGAAUACUAGAAGCCAGACUUCCUUGGUGUGAUGCGUGUGUAGAUUUGCUUCUACAAUUUCCACUUUAAAAUGGAGAAUGAGGAUGCAGAAGAUAGCUGUUCUAUUGCAUCACUGUGUGUGAGCUGCAUAUCAGCAGUGUUUGAUGUGAAUGACCUGGAAGACCCACUGUCCUUCAACACUGGAGCAAAAUCACUAAGUCCAGGAUUUUCCUGCAACUGCACCAAGACCUUUGCCACCUCUUCAGCCCUCAGGGCAAUAGCUUGCAUGCCAGAAAACACAUCUGAGUCUCAUUCAUGCUUUAUCAGUAUCUGUUACUUCCAACACAAUUUGCUGACCAUCAGUGACUGUGACUUGUAUACAACCACUUUCUGAAAAAAAUCUAUUGAUCCUUAU